UGGGGAAUUUUGGACAAUGGGCGAAAGCCUGAUCCAGCAAUGCCGCGUGUGUGAAGAAGGCCUUCGGGUUGUAAAGCACUUUUGUCCGGAAAGAAAUCCUUGGCUUCUAAUACAGAUCGGGGGAUGACGGUACCGGAAGAAUAAGCACCGGCUAACUACGUGCCAGCAGCCGCGGUAAUACGUAGGGUGCAAGCGUUAAUCGGAAUUACUGGGCGUAAAGCGUGCGCAGGCGGUUUGCUAAGACCGAUGUGAAAUCCCCGGGCUCAACCUGGGAACUGCAUUGGUGACUGGCAGGCUAGAGUAUGGCAGAGGGGGGUAGAAUUCCACGUGUGAGCAGUGAAAUGCGUAGAGAUGUGGAGGAAUACCGAUGGCGAAGGCAGCCCCCUGGGCCAAUACUGACGCUCAUGCACGAAAAGCGUGGGGAGCAAAAC
RNAcentral lists this ribosomal RNA (431 nucleotides) under uncultured bacterium. Its description in RNAcentral is "partial 16S ribosomal RNA". It matches the Rfam family "Bacterial small subunit ribosomal RNA", at positions 355 to 774 of the family's 1533-position model. The record is from RNAcentral.